Molecule: ribosomal RNA, 496 nt
Filed under: uncultured bacterium
Lineage: Bacteria
Description: partial 16S ribosomal RNA
Rfam family: Bacterial small subunit ribosomal RNA
Source: RNAcentral
AUGAACGCUGGCGGCGUGCCUAAUACAUGCAAGUCGAGCGAACAGACGAGGAGCUUGCUCCUCUGACGUUAGCGGCGGACGGGUGAGUAACACGUGGAUAACCUACCUAUAAGACUGGGAUAACUUCGGGAAACCGGAGCUAAUACCGGAUAAUAUAUUGAACCGCAUGGAUCAAUAGUGAAAUACGGUUUUGCUGUCACUUAUAGAUGGAUCCGCGCCGCAUUAGCUAGUUGGUAAGGUAACGGCUUACCAAGGCAACGAUGCGUAGCCGACCUGAGAGGGUGAUCGGCCACACUGGAACUGAGACACGGUCCAGACUCCUACGGGAGGCAGCAGUAGGGAAUCUUCCGCAAUGGGCGAAAGCCUGACGGAGCAACGCCGCGUGAGUGAUGAAGGUCUUCGGAUCGUAAAACUCUGUUAUUAGGGAAGAACAAAUGUGUAAGUAACUAUGCACGUCUUGACGGUACCUAAUCAGAAAGCCACGGCUAACUACGUG